Molecule: long non-coding RNA, 390 nt
Filed under: Mytilus galloprovincialis (Mediterranean mussel)
Lineage: Eukaryota; Metazoa; Mollusca; Bivalvia; Mytilida; Mytilidae
Source: RNAcentral
CAAGCAACAAGCUAUUGGUGACAUAACUGCCCGCGAAUCAAUCAACGUAAGACAGAAAGUUAUCUCACUCCAUAUGAUACAACGAAUACGUCCAUUGAUUAAAUACAUCAACGAACUUACGACAUGUUAGAACCAACAGACGAUAGAUAGUAGCACGUGCUAGUGAAACCUGUAUGUGUAACAAUCUCCCGCAGAGUGGCGCUGCUAGAAAAUCACGCACAGAAUGUUCGAAAAGUUUUGUUAUUCAUGAUUUUUUCUGUUAAAGGUUAAUCCAACGAUUCUUUGAAGGAAAUUUGAUAAAUUUAAUUUCACGACAGGAACUCGAGAAAUCAAACACAAUUUUGUUUGUGUUGAACUUCGGAAUAUUUAAAGUUUAGGCUAUAUUAAUAU